GAUGAACGCUAGCGGCAGGCUUAAUACAUGCAAGUCGAGGGGCAGCGGGGUAGCAAUACCUGCCGGCGACCGCAACGGUGCGAACACGUACACAACCUUCCUUUAAGUGGGGGAGUAGCCCAGAGAAAUUUGGAUUAAUACCCCGUAAUAUUGUUGGAUGGCAUCAUUUGACAAUUAAAGCUGAGGCGCUUAGAGAUGGGUGUGCGUCUGAUUAGGUAGUUGGUGUGGGUAACGGCCCACCAAGCCUUCGAUCAGUAACUGGUGUGAGAGCACGACCAGUCACACGGGCACUGAGACACGGGCCCGACUCCUACGGGAGGCAGCAGUAAGGAUAUUGGUCAA
RNAcentral lists this ribosomal RNA (342 nucleotides) under uncultured bacterium. Its description in RNAcentral is "bacterial SSU rRNA". It matches the Rfam family "Bacterial small subunit ribosomal RNA", at positions 28 to 371 of the family's 1533-position model. The record is from RNAcentral.